Magallana angulata is the source of this 292-nucleotide long non-coding RNA. RefSeq lists it as uncharacterized. The transcript has 2 exons. NCBI's taxonomy places the organism in Eukaryota, Metazoa, Mollusca, Bivalvia, Ostreida, Ostreidae. The record is from RefSeq and is a predicted model, not a curated record.
CCUAAAUUCGUGGAAAUUGACACACACUUUAUCUAACUGAAGACGACACAGAAAUGACCCCAAUAACCAAAUAUCUAGACACGGGAAGGAAAUGUGAAAUGUACUCACCCACGGCGACACAGAACACACAAAGGAGGACCUGGAAGGACUGCAUGGCGACUGGCUGAAGAAUAAGAAUAUGAUAGAGAGGUAUAUUUACCGGAUGACGUAAAUGGCUGGAGGUUACACAAGUCUACACGGAACUGUCGGGAUGUCUAUCCCCGGGUACUUACUUUGGCACCAUAACGAAGUG